GACAGAGGGUGCAAACGUUGCUCGGAAUCACUGGGCGUAAAGGGCGUGUAGGCGGGAAGGGAAGUCAGAUGUGAAAUCCCCAGGCUCAACCUGGGAACUGCAUUUGAAACUCCCUUUCUUGAGUACCGGAGAGGAAAGUGGAAUUCCUGGUGUAGAGGUGAAAUUCGUAGAUAUCAGGAGGAACACCAGUGGCGAAGGCGGCUUUCUGGACGGUAACUGACGCUGAGACGCGAAAGCGUGGGGAGCAAACAGG
This 253-nucleotide ribosomal RNA is filed under the name uncultured bacterium. Its description in RNAcentral is "partial 16S ribosomal RNA". It matches the Rfam family "Bacterial small subunit ribosomal RNA", at positions 524 to 776 of the family's 1533-position model. The record is from RNAcentral.